Molecule: ribosomal RNA, 254 nt
Filed under: uncultured bacterium
Lineage: Bacteria
Description: partial 16S ribosomal RNA
Rfam family: Bacterial small subunit ribosomal RNA
Source: RNAcentral
CACGUAGGGUGCGAGCGUUGUCCGGAAUUAUUGGGCGUAAAGAGCUCGUAGGCGGUGUGUCGCGUCGGCCGUGAAAACCUGCAGCUUAACUGUGGGCUUGCGGUCGAUACGGGCAUCACUGGAGUUCGGCAGGGGAGACUGGAAUUCCUGGUGUAGCGGUGAAAUGCGCAGAUAUCAGGAGGAACACCAAUGGCGAAGGCAGCACUCUGGGACGUGACUGACGCUGAGACGCGAAAGCGUGGGGAGCGAACAGG